CAGUGGGGAAUCUUGCACAAUGGGCGAAAGCCUGAUGCAGCCAUGCCGCGUGAAUGAUGAAGGCCUUAGGGUUGUAAAAUUUUUUCGCCAGGGAUGAUAAUGACAGUACCUGGUAAAGAAGCCCCGGCUAACUUCGUGCCAGCAGCCGCGGUAAUACGAAGGGGGCUAGCGUUGUUCGGAAUUACUGGGCGUAAAGCGCACGUAGGCGGACUUUUAAGUCUCAGGGGAAAACCCGGGGGUCUCCCUCGGAAAAUCAUUUGAAAUUGGACGUGUAGAGACCAGGAGAGGUUAGCGGAAUACCGAGUGUAGAGGUGAAAUUCGUAGAUAUUCGGUGGAACACCAGUGGCGAAGGCGGCUAACUGGACUGGUACUGACGCUGAGGUGCGAAAGUGUGGGGAGCAAACAGGAUUAGAUACCCUGGUAGUCCACACCGUAAACGAUGAGAGCUAGUUGUUGGCAGGCAUGCCUGUCGGUGACGCAGCUAACGCAUUAAGCUCUCCGCCUGGGGAGUACGG
RNAcentral lists this ribosomal RNA (515 nucleotides) under uncultured Hyphomonas sp. RNAcentral describes it as "bacterial SSU rRNA". It matches the Rfam family "Bacterial small subunit ribosomal RNA", at positions 352 to 885 of the family's 1533-position model. Lineage: Bacteria; Pseudomonadati; Pseudomonadota; Alphaproteobacteria; Hyphomonadales; Hyphomonadaceae. The record is from RNAcentral.